ACAGAGUGGUGGAUUCCUGUGAAAAUUGUGACUGCCUUACUCUUGGGAUUUGAGACUCUGUUCCUGCUCUAUUGCUGGUGGAGACGCAUGGAAAAUGUCUCCCAGGAAGUGCCAACUUCUCCUGAUCAGGGUUCUCUAGGGGUUCCUUGUCCCCUUCUUCAUGGUACAGAAGAGGAGAGCCAGGUGAUCGACCAACCCGAAAUAACAUCAGAGCAAGGGGCAUUGUGUUGUGUGGGGAGGUCCCAGAAGUCUCCUAAAGUCAACGCAUCAACAUGUCCAAGUAGAAAGCAAGAGCGGUUCAGAAAUUGAAAGAGCAAUUGGAGGCGUCUAAUCAGGCUGCGGCUUGAAGCAAAAGUCUCAGACUCUGAAGAGAAGAAAGUUGAGUGGACAGAAAGCCUGUGGGGAGCCCAGGAUGACUCUUCCAGUGUUAUGGAGUCUCAGUAUUUGUACUUCCAAAUAAAAAACUUCCGGCAGCCAAGAAGGCUCCACAUCCAUUUGCACUACUCAGCUGAGCCUUGA
Molecule: non-coding RNA, 519 nt
Organism: Thamnophis sirtalis
Lineage: Eukaryota; Metazoa; Chordata; Lepidosauria; Squamata; Natricidae
Source: RefSeq, a predicted model, not a curated record